UUAAUUUGUUUACGACUAGUUACGUUCUAUAGACAUCGUUUAGGUGGUAAGUCCCAAGCCCCGAGGGGCAGGGGAACGGUUCACGGUGUGUGUGUGUGUGUGUUUUUAUUCUCUAAUGAUCCUUCCGCAGGUUCACCUACGGAAA
Molecule: unclassified non-coding RNA, 145 nt
Filed under: uncultured fungus
Lineage: Eukaryota; Fungi
Description: sequence contains ITS1
Source: RNAcentral